This 22-nucleotide non-coding RNA is filed under the name Arabidopsis thaliana (thale cress). The record is from RNAcentral. Lineage: Eukaryota; Viridiplantae; Streptophyta; Magnoliopsida; Brassicales; Brassicaceae.
CUGUAGGUGAUAACAUUUGGUC